RNAcentral lists this ribosomal RNA (621 nucleotides) under uncultured bacterium. Its description in RNAcentral is "bacterial SSU rRNA". It matches the Rfam family "Bacterial small subunit ribosomal RNA", at positions 338 to 948 of the family's 1533-position model. The record is from RNAcentral.
CCUACGGGAGGCAGCAGUAGGGAAUCUUCCGCAAUGGACGAAAGUCUGACGGAGCAACGCCGCGUGAACGAUGAAGGCCUUCGGGUCGUAAAGUUCUGUUGUUAGGGAAGAACAAGUGCUAGUUAAAUAAGCUGGCACCUUGACGGUACCUAACCAGAAAGCCACGGCUAACUACGUGCCAGCAGCCGCGGUAAUACGUAGGUGGCAAGCGUUGUCCGGAAUUAUUGGGCGUAAAGCGCGCGCAGGCGGUUUCUUAAGUCUGAUGUGAAAGCCCCCGGCUCAACCGGGGAGGGUCAUUGGAAACUGGGAAACUUGAGUGCAGAAGAGGAAAGUGGAAUUCCAAGUGUAGCGGUGAAAUGCGUAGAGAUUUGGAGGAACACCAGUGGCGAAGGCGACUUUCUGGUCUGUAACUGACGCUGAGGCGCGAAAGCGUGGGGAGCAAACAGGAUUAGAUACCCUGGUAGUCCACGCUGUAAACGAUGAGUGCUAAGUGUUAGAGGGUUUCCGCCCUUUAGUGCUGAAGUUAACGCAUUAAGCACUCCGCCUGGGGAUACGGUCGCAAGACUGAAACUCAAAAGAUAGUACGGCGUGAGACGUGCGAACGAGACACAGGGAGGUAGG